RNAcentral lists this ribosomal RNA (617 nucleotides) under uncultured bacterium. RNAcentral describes it as "bacterial SSU rRNA". It matches the Rfam family "Bacterial small subunit ribosomal RNA", at positions 888 to 1509 of the family's 1533-position model. The record is from RNAcentral.
GCAAGGUUGAAACUCAAAGGAAUUGACGGGGACCCGCACAAGCGGUGGAUGAUGUGGUUUAAUUCGAUGCAACGCGAAAAACCUUACCUACCCUUGACAUGCUAGGAAUUCUGCAGAGAUGUGGAAGUGCUCGAAAGAGAACCUAGACACAGGUGCUGCAUGGCCGUCGUCAGCUCGUGUCGUGAGAUGUUGGGUUAAGUCCCGCAACGAGCGCAACCCUUGUCAUUAGUUGCUACGAAAGGGCACUCUAAUGAGACUGCCGGUGACAAACCGGAGGAAGGUGGGGAUGACGUCAGGUCCUCAUGGCCCUUAUGGGUAGGGCUACACACGUCAUACAAUGGCCGGGACAGAGGGCUGCCAACCCGCGAGGGGGAGCCAAUCCCAGAAACCCGGUCGUAGUCCGGAUCGCAGUCUGCAACUCGACUGCGUGAAGUCGGAAUCGCUAGUAAUCGCGGAUCAGCUUGCCGCGGUGAAUACGUUCCCGGGUCUUGUACACACCGCCCGUCACACCAUGGGAGCGGGUUCUGCCAGAAGUAGUUAGCCUAACCGCAAGGAGGGCGAUUACCACGGCAGGGUUCGUGACUGGGGUGAAGUCGUAACAAGGUAGCCGUAAAGGG